This 829-nucleotide ribosomal RNA is filed under the name uncultured bacterium. RNAcentral describes it as "bacterial SSU rRNA". It matches the Rfam family "Bacterial small subunit ribosomal RNA", at positions 28 to 851 of the family's 1533-position model. The record is from RNAcentral.
AUUGAACGCUGGCGGCAUGCCUUACACAUGCAAGUCGAACGGCAGCACGGGAGCAAUCCUGGUGGCGAGUGGCGAACGGGUGAGUAAUGUAUCGGAACGUACCUUUCAGUGGGGGAUAACGUAGCGAAAGUUACGCUAAUACCGCAUAUUCUGUGAGCAGGAAAGCAGGGGAUCGCAAGACCUUGCGCUGAUUGAGCGGCCGAUAUCAGAUUAGCUAGUUGGUGGGGUAAAGGCCUACCAAGGCGACGAUCUGUAGCGGGUCUGAGAGGAUGAUCCGCCACACUGGAACUGAGACACGGUCCAGACUCCUACGGGAGGCAGCAGUGGGGAAUUUUGGACAAUGGGGGCAACCCUGAUCCAGCCAUGCCGCGUGAGUGAAGAAGGCCUUCGGGUUGUAAAGCUCUUUCAGCCGGGAAGAAAUCGCAUGGGCUAAUACCCUGUGUGGAUGACGGUACCGGAAUAAGAAGCACCGGCUAACUACGUGCCAGCAGCCGCGGUAAUACGUAGGGUGCGAGCGUUAAUCGGAAUUACUGGGCGUAAAGCGUGCGCAGGCGGUUUAGUAAGACAGGCGUGAAAUCCCCGGGCUCAACCUGGGAACUGCGCUUGUGACUGCUAAGCUAGAGUACGGCAGAGGGGGGUGGAAUUCCACGUGUAGCAGUGAAAUGCGUAGAGAUGUGGAGGAACACCAAUGGCGAAGGCAGCCCCCUGGGUCGAUACUGACGCUCAUGCACGAAAGCGUGGGUAGCAAACAGGAUUAGAUACCCUGGUAGUCCACGCCCUAAACGAUGUCAACUAGGUGUUGGGUGGGUAAAACCAUUUAGUACCGGAG